AUUUUCUGACGCUUUUUUGAGAAUAGGAACUUGUAGAGUCACCAUGCCUAGGUGUGCUAGUUGGAGGGUAAGGUUUUCACCUCAGGAAAGGGAAGAACUGGAACAGGGAGUAAAAGGAGGCCUCCAGGUUUAGCCACUCUGUUAACACUUACAGACAAGAUGAAAGUAUACCUAGAGGGACCUGUUUUCCUAACUGAUGUUAGAAAACUGAUGUGUCAUUUGAGCUAACCUCAGAAUCAAAACUUUGGCAUAAUUCUGGAGAAUGUGGUCACCAGAAAGCACAGAUGUUACUCUGGGACUACCACAUUGUGAAGGAAUUAUAACUGAUUUCUAAGACUUCAAAUUCUUAAUUGUUGGCCACUUGGCUUUACAAUGUGAAAAAGAACAUAUACAAAUAGGAUGACACACUGAAUGUCAGAUUUACGGUGUAUGUCAAGAAAAGAGCACAAACAAGUGGCAGUACCGUUUAUUCUCAAGCAAAAAUAUCUAAAGACAAACAUUCUCUGAAAUGCUGAAAUUACAUAACAUGAAUAGUGUAGAUUUUUAUUUACUUUCUGCCUAACUCAAAAAAGAUACACAAAAUGACUUUGAAAAUAAUUCUUUUAAAGCUCCUCAAAAGAAACAAUGUAAAUCCAAACCUGUGACAACAAAAAUGGAAUGUUUGUUUAAAAGAAAAGGUGUAGGAGGCCUAGCACGGUGGCUCACGUUUAUAUUCCCAGCACUCUGGGAGGCCGA
This 735-nucleotide long non-coding RNA is filed under the name Homo sapiens (human). Its description in RNAcentral is "HSALNT0309225". The record is from RNAcentral. Lineage: Eukaryota; Metazoa; Chordata; Mammalia; Primates; Hominidae.